AGCGUAGGCUGUGCGGUAAGUCAGAUGUGAAAUCCCGGGGCUCAACCCCGGAACUGCAUCCGAUACUGCCGUGCUAGAGGAUUGGAGAGGUAGCUGGAAUUCACGGUGUAGCAGUGAAAUGCUAGAUAUCGUGAGGAACACCUAUGGCGAAAGCAAGCUACUGGACAACUCCUGACGCUGAGGCUCGAAGGCCAGGGUAGCGAAAG
This 206-nucleotide ribosomal RNA is filed under the name uncultured bacterium. Its description in RNAcentral is "partial 16S ribosomal RNA". It matches the Rfam family "Bacterial small subunit ribosomal RNA", at positions 568 to 774 of the family's 1533-position model. The record is from RNAcentral.